UACGUAGGGGGCAAGCGUUGUCCGGAAUUACUGGGCGUAAAGGGUGCGUAGGCGGCCUAAUAAGUCAGAUGUGAAAUACCGAGGCUCAACCUCGGAGGUGCAUUUGAAACUGUUGGGCUUGAGUGCAGGAGAGGAAAGUGGAAUUCCUAGUGUAGCGGUGAAAUGCGUAGAGAUUAGGAGGAACACCAGUGGCGAAGGCGACUUUCUGGACUGUAACUGACGCUGAGGCACGAAAGCGUGGGGAGCAAACAGG
This 253-nucleotide ribosomal RNA is filed under the name uncultured bacterium. RNAcentral describes it as "partial 16S ribosomal RNA". It matches the Rfam family "Bacterial small subunit ribosomal RNA", at positions 524 to 776 of the family's 1533-position model. The record is from RNAcentral.